CGCGGCCUAUCAGCUUGUUGGAGAGGUAACGGCUCACCAAGGCUUCGACGGGUAGCUGGUCUGAGAGGAUGAUCAGCCACACUGGAACUGAGACACGGUCCAGACUCCUACGGGAGGCAGCAGUGGGGAAUCUUGCACAAUGGGCGCAAGCCUGAUGCAGCGAUGCCGCGUGCGGGAAGAAGGCCUUAGGGUUGUAAACCGCUUUCAGGAGGGAAGAAAAUGACGGUACCUCCAGAAGAAGGUGCGGCCAACUACGUGCCAGCAGCCGCGGUGACACGUAGGCACCAAGCGUUAUCCGGAUUUAUUGGGCGUAAAGAGCUCGUAGGCGGUUUGGUAAGUCGGGUGUGAAAACUCUGGGCUCAACCCAGAGAGGCCACUCGAUACUGCUACGACUAGAGUACGGUAGGGGAGCGGGGAAUUCCUGGUGUAGCGGUGAAAUGCGCAGAUAUCAGGAGGAACACCAGCGGCGAAGGCGCCGCUCUGGGCCGUAACUGACGCUGAGGAGCGAAAGCAUGGGUAGCAAACAGGAUUAGAUACCCUGGUAGUCCAUGCCGUAAACGUUGGGCACUAGGUGUGGGUCUCAACCAACGAGAUCCGCGCCGUCGCUAACGCAUUAAGUGCCCCGCCUGGGGAGUACGG
RNAcentral lists this ribosomal RNA (639 nucleotides) under uncultured Actinomycetes bacterium. RNAcentral describes it as "bacterial SSU rRNA". It matches the Rfam family "Bacterial small subunit ribosomal RNA", at positions 232 to 885 of the family's 1533-position model. The record is from RNAcentral. Lineage: Bacteria; Bacillati; Actinomycetota; Actinomycetes.